This 773-nucleotide ribosomal RNA is filed under the name uncultured bacterium. RNAcentral's name for it is "bacterial SSU rRNA". It matches the Rfam family "Bacterial small subunit ribosomal RNA", at positions 82 to 832 of the family's 1533-position model. The record is from RNAcentral.
GCGGGAGAGUAAAGUGGCGAACGGGUGAGUAAUACAAGGGUAAUCUGCCCUUAAAUUAGGGAUAACCUUGCGAAAGCGAAGCUAAUACCUGAUAAGACUACGACCUCUUAGGAGGAUGUAGGAAAAGAUGGCCUCUGUUUCAAGCUAUCGAUUAAGGAUGAGCCCUUGCACUAUUAGCUUGUUGGUGGGGUAACGGCCUACCAAGGCGACGAUGGUUAGCUGGUCUGAGAGGAUGACCAGCCACACUGGAACUGAGACACGGUCCAGACUCCUACGGGAGGCAGCAGUGAGGAAUAUUGCGCAAUGGGGGAAACCCUGACGCAGUGACGCCGCGUGAGUGAUGAAGGCUUUCGAGUCGUAAAGCUCUGUUAGGUGGAAAGAAACAUUCCAACGCUAAUAUCGUUGGAACUUGACGGUACCACCAGAGGAAGCACCGGCUAACUCCGUGCCAGCAGCCGCGGUAAUACGGAGGGUGCAAGCGUUGUUCGGAAUUACUGGGCGUAAAGGGCGUGUAGGCGGUUAGGCAAGUCAGGUGUGAAAUCCCUUGGCUCAACCAAGGAAGUGCGCUUGAAACUGCUUAACUCGAGUACAGGAGGGGAAAGUGGAAUUCCCAGUGUAGAGGUGAAAUUCAUAGAUAUUGGGAGGAACACCGGUAGCGAAGGCGGCUUUCUGGCCUGAUACUGACGCUGAGACGCGAAAGCGUGGGGAGCAAACAGGAUUAGAUACCCUGGUAGUCCACGCCGUAAACGAUGGGCACUAGGUGUAGGAAGUGU